GUCCUGCCGUUGAUUGUUCGUGCUUAUGAUGAUAAUGAUGCUCGCAUACAAGAGGAAGUUCUGAGGAAAUCAGUUUCCCUUGCUAAGCAACUUGACACACAGUUAGUGAAACAAGCAAUUUUGCCUCGUGUUCAUGGUUUAGCUCUAAAGACAACAGUUGCUGCGGUUAGAGUCAAUGCUUUGCUGUGCUUUGGAGAAUUGGUUCAG
This 207-nucleotide unclassified non-coding RNA is filed under the name Hevea brasiliensis (rubber tree). The record is from RNAcentral. Lineage: Eukaryota; Viridiplantae; Streptophyta; Magnoliopsida; Malpighiales; Euphorbiaceae.